RNAcentral lists this long non-coding RNA (2201 nucleotides) under Solanum tuberosum (potato). Its description in RNAcentral is "long non-coding RNA (STUB_LNC000711)". Lineage: Eukaryota; Viridiplantae; Streptophyta; Magnoliopsida; Solanales; Solanaceae. The record is from RNAcentral.
CUCCUCAUCAUAUGAUCUUCCUGUCUAUUAUGUUGGCUCAGCUACUCAUAAUCGUCAAGCUUUGCUUCGAGCUAACGCUUUAAAUCCUUUAGACAUAGCCAAAAUCCACUUCCAUGACAUUCCACUUCCUGAAUUUGCCUCACCUCCACCUGACUUUAAUGCCUUGAGCAAAUUCCCAUUACAUCAUCAGCCAUUAUGGGAUGCAUCUUUGCUUCUUCGCAAGUCCAUUGCUUCCUUUUUACGUGACAUCUCCUCAAAAUCGAGACGAGUCAUUGUUGUUCAUGAUUAUUUUAUGUCAUAUAAUGUUCAGGAUGUUUCUUCCUUUCCCAAUGCUGAAUCCUAUAUAUUUAAUUGCAUUUCAGUUAUCACUUUGUACUGUUCUUUAUGCUUAUUUAGUGGAAAGUCUAUCCAACUUGGAGAAGAAUUGCUUAAAAAGCUACCACCCCUUGAAGGAGCUGUGCCUGAUGAAGUCAAGAACUUUAUGGAUUUUCAGAGUCCAUAUGUGGAUAUUAAAUCAGGUGAUAUCCAUAAUACAAGUAAAGUAAUUGAAGGUGAGUUUCUUGAUUUGCUGGCACAAGUAGAAAGUAAACAACAGUGGGCAAUUGGACCAAUUCUGCCUAAUGAAAGUAAUUGUGGAGAGAUUUGUGGAGUGAAAAAAGGAAGGAAAAUCAUUAAUAGAAGAUUUCAAAUUAAUGUAUCCGAAAAAAGGAUUAAUGAGAGCAAAAAAGGGGAUUUUUGAUAUUUUUUGAAAUGGUAGGGAAAAUAAGAAAAUAUGAUAAUAAAUGAUGUGUAGUUAGAUAAUUUUCCAAAAAAUUAUAAUAAGUUGUCAUGCACCACAUAUUCUUAUUCAAUAAUUCAAAAAUAAUAGUACAACAAUUAGUAGUUACAAAUCUGAAAGAUAUGUGAAAUAGAUGGAUUUGCUAGUCAAUCAUCCUCUUACCUUCACACAUUUACCAUAUAACCCCCUGCUUCUUCAAUGAGAAAAAACUCAAUCAGGAGACAUGGAGGAUCCGAUAGAAACACGAAACUCCAAUCUUUCUACUUCCAUGUGUAGCUAUGAGAAUUUACCAAACCAUGAAGUAGCUAUAGUCAUGGUUCCAUUUCCAGCACAAGGCCAUCUCAAUCAACUUCUUCAACUUUCCUGUUUAAUCUCCUCAUCAUAUGAUCUUCCUGUCUAUUAUGUUGGCUCAGCUACUCAUAAUCGUCAAGCUUUGCUUCGAGCUAACGCUUUAAAUCCUUUAGACAUAGCCAAAAUCCACUUCCAUGACAUUCCACUUCCUGAAUUUGCCUCACCUCCACCUGACUUUAAUGCCUUGAGCAAAUUCCCAUUACAUCAUUAGCCAUUAUGGGAUGCAAUUUUGCAUCUUCGCGAGCCCAUGGCUUCCUUUCUACAUGAUAUCUCCUCAAAAUCGAGACGAGUAAUUGUUGUUCAUGAUUCUUUAAUGUCAUAUAUUGUUCAGGAUGUUUCUUCCCUUCCCAAUGCUGAAUCAUAUAUAUUUAAUUGCAUUUCAGCUAUCACUUUGUACUGUUCUUUAUGCUUAUUUAGUGGAAAGUCUAUCCAACUUGGAGAAGAAUUGCUUAAAAAGCUACCGCCCCUUGAAGGAGCGCUGCCUGAUGAAGUCAAGAACUUUAUGGAUUUUCAGAGUCCAUAUAUGGAUAUUAAAUCAGGUGAUAUCCAUAAUACAAGUAAAGUAAUUGAAGGUGAGUUUCUUGAUUUGCUGGCACAAGUAGAAAGUAAACAACAGUGGGCAAUUGGACCAAUUCUGCCUACUAAAUUCUAUAAUAUCUCGAAUAGCAACAAUAUAUGUUUGGAAUGGCUGAACAAACAACCUCCGAGAUCAGUUCUUUAUAUUUCAUUUGGAACAUCAACUACAUUUUCCGAUAGAGAAGUCAUGGAGCUCGCAAUGGGACUUGAACAAAGCAAACAGAAGUUCAUAUGGGUGUUGAGAGAAGCCGAUAGAGGAGGUGCCUUUACCGGGGAAGCUAGAAAAUUUGAGCUUCCAGGGGGGUUUGAGGAAAGGGUAAAAGAAAUAGGCCUAGUGGUAAGAGAAUGGGCACCACAACCCGAAAUCUUGGCUCAUUCUUCCACAGGCGGAUUCAUGAGUCAUUGUGGAUGGAAUUCUUGCAUAGAGAGUAUUACCAUGGGUGUGCCUAUUGCUGCCUGGCCUAUGCACUCUGACCAACCGAGAAAUGGUUUCUNN